CUGUCCCCCUUUUUCCUUUCCUUUCCCUCCCUUGUUGGUGAAUCAUCCUCGCUCCCAAGUGAUCCCCGCGAGAAAACCGUUCAUUCAUCGUAGCCGUUACAAUCACGCAAACAAGCACCACCACCAUCAUCAUCAACAUCUUAACUUUCCCAUUUUGCCCCUACCGACCCUUCAUCAACCGUUCAAACCUUCUUCCAUCUCCCUUAAAUACCCACCACAUCUCACAACUCUCAAACAAACACUCAGAUUCAUCUCUCUCUCUCUCUCUCUCUCUUCUCUCUCUCUCUCUCUCUCUAAGAUAAACACCAUUUAAUUGCUACUCAUGGGAACUGUUGUUGAAGCUGCAAACAAGGAUGCUGCAAAUGGAAAUGGGAGCAUCCUAAACAAAAAUCUCACAGUUGUUUUUGUGUUAGGUGGGCCAGGCAGCGGAAAGGGUACUCAAUGUUCGAACAUUGUCAAACAUUUUGGGUAUACUCACCUCAGUGCUGGGGAUCUUCUGCGAGCAGAAAUUAAAUCCGGUUCUGAAAAUGGUACAAUGAUUCAGAAUAUGAUUAAAGAAGGAAAAAUUGUUCCAUCUGAGGUAACAAUUAAGCUGCUGCAGCGAGCAAUGCUGGAAAAUGGCAAUGACAAAUUUCUUAUUGAUGGUUUUCCUCGCAAUGAGGAAAACCGUGCAGCGUUUGAGAAAGUGACAGGAAUAGAGCCAACGUUUGUCCUUUUUUUUGAUUGCCCUGAGGAAGAGAUGGAGAGGCGACUUCUUGGCCGGAACCAGGGUAGAGAAGAUGACAACAUUGAAACAAUAAGGAAGCGGUUUAAUGUUUUCUUGGAAUCUAGUCUCCCUGUGAUUAAUUAUUAUGAUGCAAAGCUAAAAGUUCGCAAGAUUGAUGCUGCAAGGCCUGUUGAGGAGGUAUUUGAGUCAGUCAAAGCUAUUUUUAGUCCAAAAAAUGAGAAGGCUGACUGAGUAUGUUCACCCUUGAUUUCAUGCUGGAAACUUAGAGGUAAAAGUUACAUCGUUAUGUUGUAUUGGGCUGCUUGUUCUGUUGCAUCACAUUUUGUUUAUUAAUUUAGAAAAUUAUAUCCUAUACCUGAGGUUAUUACCCCUUUUAAUGUUGUACCUUAUUGACUCAUUCAUUGAUAGCAAUAAAGAAUUUUGUGAGUUUAUUUAUA
RNA transcript from Lotus japonicus, 1164 nucleotides. It is a transcript of the gene named UMP-CMP kinase 3-like, with no coding region annotated. The record is from RefSeq and is a predicted model, not a curated record. NCBI's taxonomy places the organism in Eukaryota, Viridiplantae, Streptophyta, Magnoliopsida, Fabales, Fabaceae. The transcript is spliced from 10 exons.